GUUUGGGAACGGGACCAAGCUGGACUUUGAGGGGAAUGAACGUCUUCUUCUCUACUGCUUGGCGGGAGCUUUGACGUUGAGUGUGAUCCUAAAUAUUGUCCUCAUUCUGAAAAUGAGAAAAAGCUGUGAGAAAUGCAAAGGAGCUGCAUCAAACAACCAAGUGAGC
Anguilla anguilla (European eel) is the source of this 166-nucleotide long non-coding RNA. RefSeq lists it as uncharacterized. The record is from RefSeq and is a predicted model, not a curated record. Lineage: Eukaryota; Metazoa; Chordata; Actinopteri; Anguilliformes; Anguillidae. The transcript has 3 exons.